CACCGUGUUGUGUGAAACGAGCCAGAACGGU
This 31-nucleotide non-coding RNA is filed under the name Rattus norvegicus (Norway rat). Lineage: Eukaryota; Metazoa; Chordata; Mammalia; Rodentia; Muridae. The record is from RNAcentral.